Molecule: long non-coding RNA, 3555 nt
Organism: Homo sapiens (human)
Lineage: Eukaryota; Metazoa; Chordata; Mammalia; Primates; Hominidae
Source: Ensembl
GGGGACUGGCAGGCAGCUCCACCUGCGCCUGGGUGUGGGAUCCACUGGGUGAAGCCAGCUGGGCUCCUGAGUCUGGUGGGGACUUGGAGAACCUUUAUGUCUAGCUAAGGGAUUGUGAAUGCACCAAUGGGCACUCUGUGUCUAGCUCAAGGUUUGUAAAUGCACCAAUCAGCACCCCGUGUCUAGCUAAUCUAGUGGGGACUUGGAGAACUUUUGUGUCUAGCUCAGGGAUUGUAAAUGCACCAAUCAGCACCCUGUCAAAACGGACCAAUCAGCUCUCUGUAAAGUGAACCAAUCAGCAGGAUGUGGGUGGGGCCAGAUAAGGGAAUAAAAGCAGGCUGCCCGAGCCAGCAGUAGUAACCCUAUGGAGUCUCUUUCUGUCGUGUGGAAGGUUUGUUCUUUCGCUUUUUGCAAUAACUCUUGCUGCUGUUUACUCUGGGCCCACACUGCCUUUAUAAGCUGUAACACUCGCUGCGAAGGUCUGCCGCUUCACUCCUGAAGCCAGUGAGACCACGAACCCACCGGGAUGAAUGAACAACUCAGAUGGGCCACCAUAAGAGCUGUAACACUCACCAUGAGGGUCUACAGCUUCACUCCUGGUCCAGCUAGACCACGAAUCCACCAGAAGGAAGAAACUCCAAACACAUCCGAACAUCAGAAGGAACAAAUUCCGGACAUGCUGCCUUUAAGAACUGUGACACUCACCACGAGGAUCCACGGCUUCAUUCUUUAAGUUAGACCAAGAACCCACCAAUUCCGGACACAUGUUGAGGAACCAAUGUCUCCAGCCAACAGCCAGUAAGGACCUGAGGCCUGACAACAAUCAGGGACUUUUCACAGUGCCUGGCAGAGUUUGGACACUACGUAUGUGCUGAAUAAUAUGUGAAAUUUUCUGAUGGGUGCCACGAAGUCAAAUAGAAGAUGACUUUGGGGAAGGAUACUGCAAGUGCAGUGCCAUGUGCUUCAUUCGGCCUCACAUCAGGUGGCACAACGUACCUGACAGUGGCAGCCUUAGCAGUGCUGAGCUGAGUAACACAGAGUAAACCACUCAGCCUUUAAAUCUAUGAUAUAAGCCUUUAUAUCAUUUUUAAUAUGUGAAAUAAUCAAAGUCAGAUUUUACAAUUACCUUAGAAAGAAACUGCAAACAUAAGUUCUAUUUGUAAAAUAUUGGAGGGAGGGUAUUUUCUAAUAUAUGUUGUAAAAAAAUGUUUAAAUGGUGAGCAUGUAGUUGGUUAUAUAAGCUUUUUGAAUACUUCAACUUACAAAGUGAUUGAUUCAAACUUGGUACAAUUAGAACGGCAUCCAGAGAAGCCUUCUUUAAUUUUCUAUACCACAUAGAAAAAUGCAUCGUCAAAAUGGGUGAAGCUGGGCUGCCUCUGAAAACAGAACUAUAAUGCAUUUGUUUUUUUGUUUUUUUUGUUUGUUUGUUUGUUUUUGUUUUUGAGGCUGAGUCUCCCUCUGUAGCCCAGGCUGGAGUGCAGUGGCACGAUCUCGGCUCACUGCAACCUCAGCCUCCUGGGUCCUGGUUCAAGCAAUUCUCCUGCCUCGGCCUCCCGAGUAGCUGGGAUCACAGGCAUGUGCCACCAUGCUCAGCUAAUUUUUUUUUUUGUAUUUUUGGUAGAGACGGGGUUUCACCAUGUUGGCCAGGCUGGUCUUGAACUCCUGACCUCGUGAUCCACCCGCCUCGGCCUCCCAACGUGCUGGGAUUAUAGGCGUGAGCCACAGCACCCCACCAAUGCAUCUGAUUUUGAUUGGAUUAUCAGUUCAGAAAUUUCCCAAUACCAAAUUCUACCACUCUGUCUAAGGAAGGACUCUCUCCAUAUUUUAGCUCCUAGAUCACCCUCCCUAAUCUUUAUACUACGUAAAAUAAGCUGUCUGCCUCUGCUCAAAAGGGCUGAAUGGGAUACAUGGAUACAUGAAUUGAUAGGGUUUUAAUGGAUUCUUUUGGAAAGGGGACGGUCCCACACCAUGCUAUGGCCUUCGAUGUUAUUUUUUAACAACUUCUAAAUAACAACAUGUUGUUUUUUAAAUGUGCCUGAAGAUGUAUAUUUACCAUCCAAGAGAGUACAAAUUUGAGACUCCAACUUCAGCGCUACUCCACUACAUGGCUUCUGUACACCUUAGUGAAUUGUGGCACUUGUGAGGGUCAACAAAACUCACCCUGUGGCUGGCUGGCACAUGAUGGAUGGACGUCGAAGAGGGUCAAAUCGUUUUAUGGUACACGAUGGCUAAAACAUGGAUAGGAAUGUCAGGUUGUCUGAUACUAAACUAUUUUGAAAUUCUGAGGUUGCAACCUCAGUCUUUAGAGUCUACACCCAAAGCUUUCUAUGGCCCUGUUCUUCCCCCAAAGACACCAGAUGUUGGAGAAGUAGGGUCCCAUGAGCCUUUUCAUUAACGUUUCAUGAGGGAGACUUAUCCUUCUGUAUGGAUGUCAUCAAAACACCCUGAGAAUAUACUUACAGUUGAACCAUUUUUUCUCACUUGAAUAAAAUUAACCUGAGUACAGUAGUCCCCCCUUAUCCACAGGGGGUGUGUUCCAAGACCCCCAGUACAUGCCUGAAACCAUGGAUAGUACCAAACCCCAUAUAUUCUAUGUUUUUGCUAUUCACACAUACCUAUGAUAAAGUUUAACUUAUAACUUAGGCACAGUAAGAGAUUAACAACAGUAACUAAUAGUAAAAUGAAACAAUUAUAACAAUAUUCUGUAAUAAAAGGCAUAUAAAUGUGAUCUCUCUCCCAAAAUAUCUUUUUUUAAUUUUUAUUUAUUUAUUUAUUUAUUUUGAGACGGAGCCUCACUCUGUCACCCAGGCUGGAGUACAGUGGUAUGAUCUUGGCUCACUGCAACUUGUGCCUCCUGGGUUCAAGCAAUUCUCCCUGCCUCAGCCUCCCAAGUAGCUUGGAUUACAGGCAACUGCCACCAUGCCCGGCUUAUUUUUGUAUUUUUAGGAGAGACAGGGUUUCUCCAUGUCGACCAGGCUGGUCUUGAGUCCUGACCUCAGGUGCUCCACCCGCCUCGGCCUCCCAAAGUGCUGGGAUUACAGGCAUGAGCCACCAUGCGCAGUCCUUUUUUAAAUUUUUUAAUUUAUUUUUAAUUUUUUGGGUACACAGUAGGAGUAUAUAUUUACGGGGUGCGUGAGAUAUUUUAAUACAUGCAAUGUAUAAUAAUCGCAUCAGGUUAAAUGCAAUUAUUUACCUUCAUCUCAAACAUUUAUCUUUUGUGUUGCAAACCAAUUACACUCUUUUAGUUAUUUUAAAAUGUACAAUUAUUUUUUACUAUAGUCACUCUGUUAUACUAGCAAAUACUAGAUCUUAUUCGUUCCAAUUAUUUUUUGUACCCCUAAAAUAUCUUAUUUUACUAUACCGUGAGUAACUAAAACCUCGGAAAGUGAAAGCAUGGAAUACUGCGUAUUUCCCACCCUCAGCGUGUGUGUGUCUUAACAAAGUCAGCCAGGGCACCUGCCCCCCUCCUUCUCAUCAGGCCUUCUUAGCAAAAUAGCAUCCUUGUGGAGGGCCAGGGCUGUGUCCUGUGGGUUAGUGAUAUGAUCAAGAUUCCUA